Molecule: non-coding RNA, 108 nt
Organism: Acanthosepion pharaonis
Lineage: Eukaryota; Metazoa; Mollusca; Cephalopoda; Sepiida; Sepiidae
Source: the annotation of a GenBank genome assembly
GCCGUAUCACGUUGCAACACCAGUUCCCCUACGAUCACCGAUGUUAAGCAUCGUCGAACCUGGUCAGUACCUAUAUGGGUGAGCCUUGGGGAUACCAGAUGAUGUAAG